Molecule: ribosomal RNA, 450 nt
Filed under: uncultured bacterium
Lineage: Bacteria
Description: partial 16S ribosomal RNA
Rfam family: Bacterial small subunit ribosomal RNA
Source: RNAcentral
GUGGGGAAUAUUGGACAAUGGGCGAAAGCCUGAUCCAGCCAUGCCGCGUGUGUGAAGAAGGUCUUCGGAUUGUAAAGCACUUUAAGUUGGGAGGAAGGGUAGUAACCUAAUACGUUGCUACUUUGACGUUACCGACAGAAUAAGCACCGGCUAACUUCGUGCCAGCAGCCGCGGUAAUACGAAGGGUGCAAGCGUUAAUCGGACUUACUGGGCGUAAAGCGCGCGUAGGUGGUUCAGUAAGUUGGAAGUGAAAUCCCCGGGCUCAACCUGGGAACUGCUUUCAAAACUGCUGAGCUAGAGUACGGUAGAGGGUGGUGGAAUUUCCUGUGUAGCGGUGAAAUGCGUAGAUAUAGGAAGGAACACCAGUGGCGAAGGCGACCACCUGGACUGAUACUGACACUGAGGUGCGAAAGCGUGGGGAGCAAACAGGAUUAGAUACCCGAGUAGUCC